This 253-nucleotide ribosomal RNA is filed under the name uncultured bacterium. RNAcentral's name for it is "partial 16S ribosomal RNA". It matches the Rfam family "Bacterial small subunit ribosomal RNA", at positions 524 to 776 of the family's 1533-position model. The record is from RNAcentral.
UACGUAGGGUGCAAGCGUUAAUCGGAAUUACUGGGCGUAAAGCGUGCGCAGGCGGCUUUGCAAGACAGAUGUGAAAUCCCCGGGCUCAACCUGGGAACUGCAUUUGUGACUGCAUGGCUGGAGUGCGGCAGAGGGGGAUGGAAUUCCGCGUGAAGCAGUGAAAUGCGUAGAUAUGCGGAGGAACACCGAUGGCGAAGGCAAUCCCCUGGGCCUGCACUGACGCUCAUGCACGAAAGCGUGGGGAGCAAACAGG